CAAACCCAGACUGGCGUCUGGAAGGGCCUGGGGGUGUGUGCACAUCGGCGAGACCGAAAGCGCCCAGAACCUCCGCUUCCAGCGCCCGGGGGCGUCGUGGCUUUGGUCGAAACGGCGUCGGCGUCUUUUUACUGAUGCGACUCCCACAGCUCUUCUAACCGGAGAACCAGGUAGAGACCUGUGGCUGCCUUGUUCACUGCUGUAGACGGAAGCCAGGUGUGCAGAACGGUGCCUGGCGCAUAGUAGGUGUUCAAGGGAUAGGGGUGUGAUGCUGACACGGAGUGAAGGGAGGCCGGAGAUGCUGCCAAACGACCUGCAAUGCCCAGGACAGCCGGGACCACGGAGAAGGAUCCUGCCCAUCUGCUAGCUGAGAUCCUGGCCCGGAGGCCCACGUCCCGGGCGAAUCGCCUCGGGUCGUCCCGCUGUGCGCUGGCGCCACAUGGUGGCUGCACGAGACACUGCAGCAGCCCUCGAAGGAGCCACGACUUCAGAAAUGACCCCUCCAGUAUUCUCGCAAUAAUACCAACCACAGCGAUCGCCCGCCGCCUGGCGCAGGGCUCACUGUGUGCCAGGUCAAAGCGAGAUGUCUUACUUGGGAUAAAUCCAAAUGCCACAUCCACACUAACAGGCAACUAAGAAUGGACGCACCUGAAAUUGAACUGAUGCUCUCCCACCCCGCAACUCCCAGCCUGUUCCACCCUCCCAGAUGCCCAAUGUUCACCCCCUGCUCAGAACUCCUCCCCCCACCCCACCCCAUGGCUCAGUGAAAGCAAAAGUACCUAAAUGGCCCGCAAGGAUUGAAACACACUCCAGCCCUCCUUCUCUCUCUGCACUCUAUUUUUUAUAUCCAGCAAGACACCACGUGACAUACUUUACUCAUUUAUCUUGCUUAUUAUCCAUCUUCUCCAUGUGAACAGCUCCCUGAGGGCAGGAGCUGUGUCUGUUUGGUCACUGCUCUCUUCCCAGCAUCCAACACUGUGCCUGGCACACAAUAGGUGUUCAAUUGGUUGAAUAAAUGGAUGGAUGAUCCAUACAACACCCCCAGCUCCCACUAGAAUUUUGUGGAUUCUAGCCUCACCUCCACCACCAAGGCUGCUCAACAUUGGACUGGUUAGUUAACCUCUCUUGGCCUCAGCUUCCUAACAGGAAUUAAAAAUAGUACCACCUCCUUGUGCUCUGAGAGCAUUAAAUGUGUUAAUACACGUGUUUAGAAUAGUAUGUCAUGCCUAAUAGGGGCUCAAUAGGGUCCGUGCCUUACCUCAGUCAUCUUUCUCAGCCUUCUUCCUCCUGCCCACCCUCCUCCACUUCUUAAGCCCCUGACUCGUGUCUCAGUCAUCUUCUUUAGUCUUUUGCACUUAGUAGGUGCUUAUUAAAUGCUGGCAUUGCAGGAAGGACAUUGAUGGUUGAGGAGUGCUUCCUGUUCUCUACAUGUUGUGAGUCAGACUCUCCUACCCCAGUUUACUGGUGAUGAAACCCAGGUUUCCACUGGCAGAGGCAGGACCUGCCCCUCCAAGCUAGCCAGGUGACUUCCUUCCAGCCCGCUCUGGCGGCAGAGGGUCAGGAGCAGGUGAGAGCAGAGGGGUGGGCUGUCAUUCUGCAGAAUGACCAGCAGGCGGCAGCAGAGAUCUAGGACGACUCUGUCUCAGGAAACCUGGGUCUGCACAGUCCUGAGGGUGAACACCUUAAAUUUUGCAGGCUGGGCACCUCACAUGCUUCACCCUAGUCCAGACCCUGGUCUGGGAGGUCCCACCCUACCAGGAGAUGCCUUUCUCCUGCCCUGGCUCAAACACAAUGCUGUCCUGGGCUCUGUGCUAAGGACUUGCCACGUGUUAGCUCAUUUAAUCUGCACAACAACCAGAACAAGGCAGGUGCUGUUAUUGCCUCAUUAGUCAGAGAUGGUAGCUGAGGGUACAUUGCAUGUUGGGUGUAUGGAGGCAGACCUCAUGCCUUUGGAUUCUCUGCCAUGACUGUAUUACACAUUUGCAUGGU
Long non-coding RNA from Myotis myotis, 1989 nucleotides. RefSeq lists it as uncharacterized. The transcript is spliced from 3 exons. Lineage: Eukaryota; Metazoa; Chordata; Mammalia; Chiroptera; Vespertilionidae. The record is from RefSeq and is a predicted model, not a curated record.